CUAGAGACGUUUUUGUUUAUAGAAAUGCUGCAUCUGCCUUCUAAUAGGGAAGAAAUCUCGCUAGGGUAAAGAUAUACUAUUUUACUUCAUCCCUGUCAGAGGCAAACUGCAGGAUUUGCACAGAGCUGAUUUCAUGUAGGAAUGGUCAUUCAUUAUACACAAUCCUGUCUUUAUGGAGCAGGGAUUUGCAAACUGUACCUACAUGUUUCCCUUUCUCAUCCUCCCUUCUUUCUCCUAUCCCCAUCUCCCACAGAGAAUCAAAAGCCUUAUCAGGACCAAGUCUGCAUUUUUAUUUACUUAAAUAAGUCUGUCAUGUCAGUUCAUUUUCAUUUAGGCAGCAGAAGAGUUAACUGCUGGUUGUGUGCGUUUAAAAACACUGUGCACUGGGAUAAGUUAUUAGGAGAAGGGGACUCAUAAAUCCGCCGACUAGAACUAAAUCAAGCAUGUAAAAGGAAUUCUUUAAGCAUAUGAGGACUAUUCUAUGUGAACCUCGGUUUGAGCAUUGUUCCUUUCUUUUGGAUUGCCAAGUAACAUUUACCCGAGACAAAAACUGCAAUUGAUUCGGAUCUGAGCAUUUCCACAUCAGAGAUCCUUACAGUCAAAUGAGUCACUUGUAAAUGAAGGGUCAGAGUCCACCAAUAGACUCUAAAUAUCAAGUGUCAGUCACUUUGCAUGUAAAUUCUCAAAAAAUCACCAAAUGUAGCUUAAUUCUUAAUAAUCCUUUGACAGAGUAAACAAUAAAUGGCAGGCAGAAGCAUUACAGUUCGCUGCGCAAAAUAACAUGCUGAACAAACGCAGCUUUCACUUUCUUCACUGGGCUGAGUUUUAUUGCAGUGUGCAUUGUCUGGCAGAAGUGGUAUGUGUCGUACAGUGCUGAACUGUAUCGUGUGGGACGAUGAGUUAGUUAUUAAAAGCGGAAGUUAAUACUCUCCGAAGGGGAAUGCUUUUUGUGCUUUAGUUCUUUGUUUCUGAGUAUUUCAUAGGGAACAACAGUGCAUUCAGUUUUAAUAACUGGAUGGGCUCAUGAGUUGAGGAAGAGAGGUUACAGAGCCAAGUCUGCUCUAGUUUGUCUGCUCAGGGCUUACUAUUGCACCUUCUGAAAGUUUGGAGCCGCAGGAUACAGAAGAAUUUUGAGCCAGUGUUUAAUAAUGGACUCCACCCUCAUAAACCUUGUUCAGUGCUUUGUUUAUGCUGUCAUUCCCAUUCCCAAACUACUUAUGCUGAGGCCUGCAAGCCCUAACAGGGUAUUGUUAUUUUGAAACAGGACAUACCUGAAAUAAUUCUCCCUGCAAAUUAAAAUUCACAUAACUUUUUUGUUGCCUUUGGUAGUUGUUGUUGAUAGAUGCCAACAUGAUGCUUCAUUCUGGAAAACAAAUGCUGAUUAUUCUUGGUGUUUACGUUAAAAAUGAAAAAAAAAUGUAAUUUAAGCCAGUUUUAAGGGCAAGUGAUUCAGAAAUCAAUGUGGAUGUCAUGUAAAACAGUUCUUUAUGGUUUAGUAGUAAACUAGCCAUCAUGUUGGAUUAAAAAGUGAGUUGAAACUUUUGUUUAACGCAAACUAUGAAGAAAUAUUUCAAUAGCAUAUUUCAGAUUACUAAGCAUUUGCAGCAUUAUGAGUUUUAGGUCCUGUAUGUCUUGAGGAGUUAUGUGGUGGUCACAAACUGUUCUAAAGAAAACUCGUAACACCAGUUUAACCCACCAGUAAAUAGGAAGGGAGGGAAGGUGGAAAGAGUUAAGAUACAAUAUUUCUGAGAAAUAUGGGUGUAGAUAAAGGUAUGGAGUUUAGAAGACACUAAACAAUGAAAGAAAAGAAAACAAGUAUAUGUUUCUGCAUAAUAUAGUGCAGAAAAUGUAUCUUACAGUUAGUCUUUUAAAAAUUCUUUGACAGAUAACCAACGUGGAGGUCUUAAUGCAGAGUGCUUCUAUGAGGUUUUCAGAAAAUCUGUGUUAAUUUAUAACUCACAGUUCUUUUGGCUUUUUGAAUUCUAAUGGAUUCUAAUACACCCAUCAUUUGUAUGCCAAAAUUUACUUUGGAGAUAAGAUGACAUUUUUAUAAAAGACCUUCAUGAAAAUAGACAUUCAGCCACAAAAAACUUUAAUGGAAUGAUGUGGUCAUAUGCAUGACAGAAUUACAUGACUCCAAUCUCUUUAUGUGAUAAAGAAAUGAAUGUUCUAAAUAUAUGGGGCUUGGCUAUUUUGAUGAAUUAUAAUACUGUGCUAUAACCAGCUAAUGUUUCUGUAAUAACUACUUAAGCAUUAAAGAAAUAAAUAUUUCAGGCAUACUGAAAUAUAGGUUCUAAAUUCAGAGGAAACAGAUUAAAUAGUCAUUGAGAUUAAGUGUGUUAUACUGUAAAGUGAAUGGAAUAAAGUAUUUUCAACUGCAACAGGUGGUUUGAGAAUUAUCUAGACUUGGAAUCAUCAUCCGUGUACAAGAAGAUCUGGAGGUGAACUGUAGCUCCAGAACCACUUGUAAAUUCAUUUUUUACUUGUUUUUUUCAGCUUUCCAUCUUCUCUGAGAGCUGUGUUAAACAGUUAUAAGGAUUUGCAGGAUUAUGUUUUCCUUUUCCGAGUAAAUUUAAUUGUUAUGAAUCAUGCAUUGUUUUACUGUACUGCAUAAUCAAGCAUUUUCUUCAAAGCUGAGUAUUGUUGGUGCAGACCUGCUCAUCAUGGAAGUGAUUUUCUGGUGGAAGAAGCUGAGGAAUGACAAAUGCUGUGGCCUGUCCCAUGAAUAUAGCGGUGGGAGUACCAAUCUAGGCUGUUUUGGUGGCAGAUCUGAGUAGGCAUCCAUGCAGACUGUGCAUGUUUCAUGCUACUUAGCAUCCCAGUCUGUGAAUGUGAAGGUUGUCUGGCAAACUAGCAUGUGAGAGUUUGAAAAUUGGUGUACAUUUCUUUGCUUAUUUAGUUCUCCGUGUUAGUUAGCCUCUGCCUGAUGCCCCUCUCCAUGGCAAUUUUGUUAAAUUUGAGUAUUAGGUGCCAAUUAGCCUUAAGUCAUUGUGUGUCAUCAACUAGCGAUGAGGUGCUAAUUGAUAUCCACCAGCAUUAUCAAAUCAGAAUUUGCAAGGUGAUGGCAGAGGUGAAAUAUUUCAACACAGUAACUAACUAAUACUAUUCUGCAGUGACCUCUAUCUCAGUAGUGCUAGGUUACUCUACGUGCAUCUUAAUGGAAUUUUUUUUGGCUCCAUGGCAAUUCAGAACUAUGACCUUCAGCAUGGAGCAUAAGAUGGAAAAUGUUGUCCUAAUAAUAAUUUCCACCCAUAAUUCCUUCUCCCCUACUCAGUUGCCUUCACUUGAUCCUCCAAAUCCUUCUGACAGGAGCAAGAAGCAAAUGUGUUUCUUUGUGUGUGAAAAAGGAUGUGCUUCAGCAGGUUGCAAGAACUGAGAAAUUAGUCUAUCCACUCAUACGACUAGUGGGAAGUAAUACCCAUUAAACAUAAAAAGUUUAUACGUAGGUACUUCAUGAUGUAAAUACUUGUCUUUUGGGGUAUAUGUUUUUUCAGAAGUUCAUAAUAAAGUGAAGGAGUUAUGUGUUGUUUGUUUUUUUCUUUACAAAUAAUUAUAUAUAUAUAUGUAUCGUCUCUAUAUAAGAGACUUAAGAAAAUAAACAAUCAGGUUGUUGAAAAGAUCAAAAGCAGAAAAAGAAUAAUACAUAGUACUUUUGCCUGAACCAGGAAAAGAUAUGACAUGAGACGGUAUCUUCAUGUGUACUGUUAAUCAAAAUAUGCUAAUAUUUUUACAUAAUGUUGCUUAGCACUUUUGAUAGCUCACAAAGUUAGUAAAUGACAAUCACAAUCUUCAGUCUUCUAUCAGAGUAUGUGUGUGAUACUUAAUAAAGUUCUUAAGUCUUAAAUGUAGAUGCUUAUGAAGCUAUUCAAAACAGAAACAGCAAUACUGAUUUUUUUUGAGUUGUAUUUUACUUGGCUAUUCCAGAUAUGUAAAUGCCCAGCCAUAAGAAGACAUUAUUUAUUCUAAGCCUAAUCCUUUUCUUUUAGUAGAUUCAAAAUAAAGAUGCAUUUUCAGUCAUAUAUUUAGAUUUAUCCCACUUUAAGGUAUUUCACAGUCCUAAAUAAAUAACUAAAAUAGUGAAAGGAUUUCCUCUACUUGCCAUGAUUAAAAAAAAAGAAAUGCAAUUAAAGAUGUCUAAUAUUCUUAUGUAUCUUUCUUAGUGUUGUGACUCUGAAGUGUGGCACAUUCCAUCACACUUUCAUUUACUUACCAAGUAUGUUCUCCUGGAUACCCUCUUGUCUGUGUUGUUUUUAAGACUGGAGAUAGGUGAAAGAGUUUUACUUGGUUCCUGUGACAAGAGUGGCACACGAAUCUGUUAUCAUUUAUCUUCUUUAGUGUCCUGAUGGCUAUUUGAUCUUGGAUCACAUUUCUUGUUGUACAUUAUCAUCAGAAUUGUUUAUCAAGUUCCAGGCAAUUAACCUAUGCAAACUCUUCCAAGGCACAAAAGCCUUUGCAACUGAUGGUGAAGGUAAUAAUACUGCAUUGAUACUGCAAAUAUUAAAUUUGUUGGGCAUAACUUCUAUGACUGGUUACAGUCUUGGAAAAUCAAAGAAUUUUUAUUCUCAGAUAGUAGCUUUUAUUCUCAGAUAACUAACACAGGACUGUCAGUUGAGAGUUUGAUUUGUAAUAGAAUAUAUAUGGCAUGAAAAUCAGUAAGUGAUAGUAAACUUGAAAGCAUAUUAUGGCAAUUUGAAUGGUUUCCUUUCGUUGCAGAUUUGUACUUGAUGCUGCAGGGUAUGGGCUAUUCAGUAACAAGGAAAAAUAUAGUAAUGUCCGUUGUGUUCUUGAUUGUUUCUCUGAAUUCUGGAGCAGACAGCUACCUCAAAUAUUCAUUUAAUAUUGAUUGUUUAUCCAUAAGAGUAAAUAUGUAUCCAUUUGUCUUCAUCCCAGAUAAUUUUGUAAUAUGUUGUCUCCUUUCACUUUGAAAGAACUUAAAAACCAUUAUGUAAAAAUGUAAUAAUUAUAGAUAGAAUAAAUGCCCUACAGUAUUGAGCUUGAGAGAAAUAAAAUAUUUAUUAUGUUGGAAAACUAAGUUUGAGCAGUAACAAUAUUAAUUAUAAUAUGAUAAGUAAUAAGAGUAAUAAGUUUUGUGGGUAUUCAGUUUAUCACUUAUCUCUUUUUCCUCUUCUACAUCAGGAAGUUGUUGCAGUAGUGCAGGAAAACAAAAUAUUUAGAGAAAUAAGAAUAGUGAUUAUUAAAUAGCAGUUUUUUAGGACAAUGUUUAGGUAAUUUUGUGAUUCUGGAGGUGAAAAGUGGUAAAGUGGGAGGAAACUAAACUCAGUUUAAUUAUAAUGUGAUCAAAUUUGACAAUUUGAGAACUUAGAAAAAUCACAUCUAAUCUUGAUAAAUUAUUUCAACAGGAACUCACAAUUUCUGUUAAAAUUGUGUGUUUAUAAGUAACUGUAUUCUUUGGCUUGACUGCUAAUUCUGCCAUGUAUUCAGGGGAGGAAUGUGUUUUUUUUUGUUUUUUUUUUUUGGUUGGUUGGUUUUGUUCUGCUCAGGAGGCAAUGAAGAACAGGAAUUAUGCAUGCUGAAUCCUCCUACCCCUAUCCUUAUGCGUAGCUGCUUCCUAGAAUUUGGGUGUGUUUUAAGUUCCCCAGCACCACAGAAAAAGCAUGCUGGGGACUUGUUCUAUGCUAAAGCGUAGGACAGCUUUGUUUUCUUGUGGAAGCAAGGACAGAUGUCAACUGUUGCUUGUCAUUGCAAGCAGUAUAGCUAGCCCAGUGUGCUGUUCAUUAGAUGCUUGUAACAGCAUAAAAUAAUCAUGAAACAUUUUGGGCUUUCCUGAGCACUCAGAAAUGGUGGUUUUCAAAAAAUGCAGAAGGUUACAGAAUAUUCCUUGGAACUUAGUUGCCAUGUGCCCUAGUAGUUAUUUUAACCUGAAACACAGUACUUCAGCUGAAGUAGUAUUGAAAUGUAGUAGUUAACCUGAAACAUAGUUAAUAAUUCAAAGAUAGGAGCUGGGUGCAAUCUGAGGUGUUUCUGGCCUUAGGAGCUCUCUACAAAUCUCUGCAAUAUAGCUGUUGAAUUAAACAGUCAGCACUCAGUCUCCUUAUGCUGGAAGUUUAUAAUGCUGUUAACAUAAAUAUUUAUCUGAAAGGUAGUUAGCAUCCAUGUUGAACAAGUUUCCAAAAUUUAACUGAGGAUGUUGUCGAUAUGCAUAUAUCCGUAACUUUAGUGUCUUGAGGGAGCCAGCAAAAAUAUCAGCCACAAAGCAUUUAGUGUACCAUGGAGGUUAGUUGAUGAGCAGAAAUAUGAAAAACUGGCAAGCUGUAAGGGUUUAGAGUGUAUCAGCCAUCGGUAGAGUAGAUAAUGCUUGAACAAGAUGGUCCCAUUUUUAUAUCCCCAUGAAAUGGUCAUCACAUCAUUUUAUAGGACAUUUUUAUUGUCUACUGGUGCUUCUUACGGUGUUCUGUGGGAAGGGCUUGGGUCACCUACACUGCUCUUAGCAGAGUUCUGUUUUGAAGACCGAAGUAUCAGGUAGCAGACUAAAAACUCCUCAGGAUUUUGAUGUUCUGAAGGCCAUAUGUAAGCAUCUGUAAGUCACUCCAGUUAGCUUGCCUCCUUUUCCAUGUGUCUUUUUCAGUUGUACAGAUACUUCAGUGGAGUAACUACAAAGCUUUUACACACUGAUGUUUCCCAUUCUCUCCCUUCACCAAGCAUCUUUCCCUUGUGCCAUGUGUGGCAGAUGACACCUUUGAGGGUCAUUAUUUCUCAGGAGUUAUUUUUUAUUAUUCCUCCUUUGCCUUUUAUUUGUAUUUCCACACUAAUGUUGUUUGAAGAUUCUCCAUUAGAUUUAAGAGAUGACUCACGAAACUUUCUUCCAUUGACUCCUAUGGUUUUUAUGGAAUUUGUUAACCUAAAGUUCCCCUCUCCCCUCUUUUCCUUGUCUUGUUGAAAUGUCUUUCUCCACAGGAAUCUGGGUAGAAAGAAAUAAUGUAUGAAUGUAUUUUAUUUGGUAGUUUGUGGGAAUAAUAAUAAUAAAGUUAAGUCUGGCUUUGUGUUUUCUUUGUGUUGCAGUUCCAUUAGAAAAACUCCCUAAUUAAUGCUUGUGAAUUUAACAAUAGGUUUUACUUUACUAGUCUAAAAUGUUUUUGGGUAUGCAUUUGUAGCCUGAGGUGAAACCAUAUCAGGUUUAAUGAACCCAGUAACCCUGAGCUAUUUUGGUGGCUGUUGGUUAAACCAGGUAUAUCAGAUUUGAAUAGACCUCAUCUUAGAAAAUAGAGAAAAUUAGACAGUUUCUGAUUGCCAUUAAAAUAAUCUUUCUCUCCUUUCAGUUUCUGUCACUUUAGAAUCUAGAGGAAAACAGUGUGUGGUUGUCUUCUGCCAAAAACGUUCACAUAUAUACCAUGUUUAUCUGAAAUACUGAUCAUCCUUAGUCAUUUUUCCCCUCUAACAAUCAUUUGAAUAGUAGUGGCCAAUAUGUUUUCUGUAGGUUAGGCUAUAUUUAAAAUUAAGUUGCCUUGAGAUAGUGGAUAGUUAUUGGUACUACGUUAUAAGCCGUGUAAGCUUAAUUUUAUACUACAUAGUUUAUCCAUGUCAUUAUCAGUACUAGAAACACAGAGUAACCUUUACUUGUUAUAUAUUGAGCAUAUUGGUUAAAAAUACUUUAAUGAGUACUUCUCUGAUUAGUAGUUGAUGAAUCAAUCCAAUGAUUUUGGGUCAUUUCAUCUGUCUGCUUCAGCUCCUUCAAAAGGAGAUUUAUAAUUUAUUCCAGAAAUAUAAUUAUUAAUCUGAAGUUAGUGCAAUUAAUCUGUAGUCAGCUUUCACAUUUUGAAAAUGAAAAUGUUUGUCAGAGAAUUGUAAGUAUUUUUUGUGAAGAUUCUUAGAUAACAAGUUAUGUUCCUACUAGGCAAAGUAUAUAUUUAACUAGCAUACUGUUUCCUCUGGCAAGCUAUUUUGAUAUUGACAUUAAAUUAGGUUAGCUAAAUUAUACAUUAUGACCAAAGGCAAUAUAACAAAAUACAUGUGGAAUACAUUGAAAUACAUGUUAGUCCAUCAGCUCUGUUGAGAAAUAUGUCAUGGGAGGUAGACAAAUAAUAUUCUGAGUUUUAUUGCUGCUUUCAGAGUUAAUGACCAUAAUAAAGGUAGUAUAGUUUGCUAGCUAUCCAUUAGUUUUGUUUUUAAUAACUUCUUUUUAUUUGCAAAAUGGUCUUCUGCUGAAAGCACAUGCUUUUAAUUGUUCAUCUUCAAUUAGCAUUACUUUUCAGAUUUUUACAAGGGGGUAUAAAGAGUGCUGGUUGAAAAAGUUUGUCUAAAUGAAUUCAGAUAGACGAUUCAAAAUUUGCCAAAAUAGACUCAUGUGAAAAAUACCAGAUCUCAGUUAGAAACUUACAGUUAUUUAUAUCGUUCUUGUCCCACAUAGUUUUGAACUUGGAACGUUUUGGCCUGUUGUGACCGUUACCAGGCUGACUUCCUUGUCUUCAGCCAGAUGGAUUAUUGUUUAGACCAUGGCAUUACAGGUUGAAAGGAUAAAUUACUGAUAGUUGACUUUCUGCUCAAUAUCAGAUGUUACUCCCUCCCAGAUCUUUCCUACAGCAUGGAAUUUAAUUUCUUUGAUCCUGUAAAAGAAAAGUAA
Molecule: long non-coding RNA, 8578 nt
Organism: Anas platyrhynchos (mallard)
Lineage: Eukaryota; Metazoa; Chordata; Aves; Anseriformes; Anatidae
Source: RefSeq, a predicted model, not a curated record